Molecule: unclassified non-coding RNA, 3111 nt
Filed under: Hevea brasiliensis (rubber tree)
Lineage: Eukaryota; Viridiplantae; Streptophyta; Magnoliopsida; Malpighiales; Euphorbiaceae
Source: RNAcentral
AUGAUUCCUUCUUGGUGUAAAAAAAAACAGAUAUAAUUGUUUCAACAAGUUAAGGAGAAUUAUUUUCCCUAUGAGAAACAAAAUUAUUAUUCUCAAUAUAAUACUGCAAAGAAUAGGACUGACAAUUGAAAUCAAAUAUAACUUACUUUUUAUCUUAUGCAGUUAUAAAAAUGAACUCUAACAAAAAGCUUUAGUUCAAUAGUUCUGGAGCUGUCUCUGAAACUGUGAGGUCUUGAGGCAAUUGUGUAUAUAGAAAAAGAACUUUGAAGAGGGACUCAAAUCAUUCUGUGCCAACUUUCAGCAAGUCCUCCCAUGUGGUUAAUUUUUCUCUAGGCUUGUUUCUCAGACUCCCAAGUCUCCUCUCCUCAGAAUCUAUCUUUUCCCAUCCGCUGAAUGGAACAAUUCUAACAUUUCUAUCAUCAAGUAACUGGAGGAGUCCCUCUCUGCCAGGCUUUGGUAAACUAGUCACGGCUGCAAGAGUUCCUUGUUCAAGGUCUUGUGAUAUGCUGGCAACAGUUUCUUCGGCACAAUAGAGGUUUGUAGCAAUAAUUCCAGUUGGUCCUCUCUUCAACCACCCGCACACAUACAAGCCCUUUUCAAGCAAUGUUUGAUCUCCCAAAGCAUCAGUAAGAACUCGACCGCUGGCAUUUGGGACCACACCUUUCUGAUGAUCGAAGGGUAAACCAUCAACUGGUACUGAUUUGUAGCCAAUGCUCUUUAGCACCAUCCUAUACAGAGUAGAGUAGAACAAUGAAAUCAAUAGAGCAUCCCAGAAAAUUAGUUUCACAACAGAACUAACUCAAAAUUGUCCAGUUACACAGUUAAUUUUUCCAACUCACAUUAGGCUUCAUUGGUGAAACAAAACUAACUGUACAUUAUAAUCCCAAUUCCUUUUGUUUUGAAAGAGAAGGGGGAGGGGAUUGUUCUGUUUGUAGAGAUCACAUCUCCCAUGGUCCUUAUGAUACGAUAUGAUGUGGAUUGAAACUAGUCAAUAAUAAAUCAAGAAAUGGAACCACAGACAGCAAUAUUGAAAAAGACCACUGAUUUUGGUAAAAUAUAUAAUUAGUCCAAACUAGGCAUGCCAAAAAUUUACCCACAGUCGAGGUCCUCAAAUUUUCCAGUACCUAUGGCAACCUGUUUUCCAGGGCCAACACCUUUAAGCACAGUCUUCUCAAAGUGCACACCGGCAACAUGGCCAGUUCCUGAAUCCAAAAAACAAGCAGGUUUUCGGAAGAAAACAAAGUGAAGUUCUCCUUGCCCAGAACUGGAAUGGGAAUUUCCUGAGGUGGCAGCCUUAGAGAGCAACUCAUAAACCCUCCUCUGAAUUCGAUUGUUUUUCAACACUUCCUCAUCUUCAGAGCUUUUUAAUAAGUCAACCUCCUUGAUGUGAAUAUACAAAUCUUUAAUGCCUGCAAUAGAAUUGCAUUGGAAGUGAUGUUCUGAAAGUAAUAAAAGACAAAACCAAAAACCUGACUAACAAAUAAAGUCAAAUUAAAAAAAAAAUAGAAACAAUAAAUACGUAUAACAAGACAAUAAAGAAGUAAAUACAAUUCAAAUGCAAUACAAUGCCUGCUAAUUUAAACACCAUGAAAGCAAUGAAACUACUUGCAUGUGUUUAGAUCAGUGGAUUCAGAAAUUGGUGUUAGUAGGGUGUUAUUAACAUGCAUUCAUUCGUACCCUCCCCGCUUUUUCUUUCCUUUUGAGUGUUUGUGUGUAUAAAUGAUUGAUGUUUGGGUAAAAUGAUCCUUUCACGAGUUAAACAACACAAAUGGAGUACCCUUUUAAACAUCCAUGAAACAUAACACAACAAUUUAUUAAUGCGAUUGAUAAGAGGUAAACAUAACAAGAUGCUAAGAACUACCAAGAACUUCACGCAGCUCUUUUGCAGUACAAGCUGCUUGGACUGGGCCACGUCUUCCAACUAGAUAAACUUUCCUUAUAGAGCUUUGAUCGAGAGCAGCCAAAGCAUGGCUAGCAAUAUCAGUUGUUGCCAAUUCUGUUGUCGGUCGUAAAAGGAUGCGAGCAACAUCAAGAGCUACAUUUCCCUGGCCCAGAAUAAUAGCUGUAUCAGUGCUCUUCAAAUCAGGAUUCAGGUUUCUGCCAUCUGGGUGGCCAUUAUACCACCAAACAAAUUCUCUAGCUGAGUGUAUCCCUGACAAAUCUUCUCCUGGAAUGCCAAGGUCUCUAUCACUUUCAGCACCGUAGGCAAGUACAACCACAUGAUACAGCUCACGAAGCUCAGCCAGAGAAAUGGACGAGCCAAGAGUGACAUUUCCAAAGAAUGAGCUCCGUUCAUGUUGCACAACCCUUGUAAAUUGGUUUAUCACAAUCUGUUGCAGGUUUUCUUUGUUUCAGGAUGAUCAGGUGCAACACCAGAGCGUACUAAUCCAAAUGGUGUCAGCAAUCGAUCUAUGAUAUCAACUUCUGCUCCUUGGUGAGCCUUCAACAUUUUUUCAGCAGUGUAAAAGCCAGCUGGUCCGCUACCAACUACGCAAACACGUAGAGGAUGAGAAGAGAUAUUUGAGAAGCUUCUUGACAACCACGUCCUUGCUGGAUACAUUGCUACUUCUUCCCUUUUCCCACGCCACAACAGACGACUUGGAAUAGAGAAAGUAGAGGCGUUGCAGAUAGAAAGAACUCUGGUGUAAGCUGUGGAAAAUGGCGUGAAGCUGGAACUAGCGGCGUGACUCUGUAACUAUGGCACUGGCGAGGGGAGCACGGUGGUGUUAUGGGGUCCAAUGGUGUGCGGGUGGUUAAUUUGGGAGCAAGGAUGGGUCUUGACAGGGGUGAACCUUCAAAGUAAUGGGUUAAACGUGUUGCGUCUUGACCGAAAGGGCUGGGGGAGAAGGGCGCGAUCUGCUAAAGGUGGGAGCUCGAGAUGGUGGCGUUCAGCUAGGUGGUGGGUCUACGUUGAUGGAGAAUUCACAGAAAAUUCGCUGAGAGCUGCUGGGAUUUCUCUUGCUUCAAGCUCUACACUCGCUGGUCUAGAGGCAGCGCUAUGUGAUUGAAUGGGUGGUAAUUUCAGGAGAUGGAGGGAGAUGGACUAGUGAAGGAGGAAUUGUAGUGGUGUCGGGCUCUGUAGAGAGGGAGGGAGGAGCUUUUGUGGGUGAG